UAAAAAAAGGUAAGCUACUAAGAGCGAAUGGUGGAUGCCUUGACUGGUAAAGGCGAUGAAGGACGUACUAGACUGCGAUAAGCUACGGGGAGCUGUCAAGAAGCUUUGAUCCGUAGAUUUCCGAAUGGGGCAACCCAAUGUAUAGAGAUAUACAUUACCUAUAUAGGAGCGAACGAGGGGAAUUGAAACAUCUUAGUACCCUCAGGAAAAGAAAUCAAUAGAGAUUGCGUCAGUAGCGGCGAGCGAAAGCGCAAGAGGGCAAACCCAGUGCUUGCACUGGGGGUUGUAGGACUGCAAUGUGCAAGAGCUGAGUUUAGCAGAACAUUCUGGAAAGUAUAGCCAUAGAGGGUGAUAGUCCCGUAUGCGAAAAACAAAGCUUAGCUAGCAGUAUCCUGAGUAGGGCGGGACACGAGAAAUCCUGUCUGAAUCCGGGUCGACCACGAUCCAACCCUAAAUACUAAUACCAGAUCGAUAGUGCACAAGUACCGUGAGGGAAAGGUGAAAAGAACUGAGGUGAUCAGAGUGAAAUAGAACCUGAAACCAUUUGCUUACAAUCAUUCAGAGCACUAUGUAGCAAUACAGUGUGAUGGACUGCCUUUUGCAUAAUGAGCCUGCGAGUUGUGGUGUCUGGCAAGGUUAAGCAAACGCGAAGCCGUAGCGAAAGCGAGUCUGAAUAGGGCGCUUAGUCAGAUGCUGCAGACCCGAAACGAAGUGAUCUAUCCAUGAGCAAGUUGAAGCUAGUGUAAGAACUAGUGGAGGACUGAACCCAUAGGCGUUGAAAAGCCCCGGGAUGACUUGUGGAUAGGGGUGAAAGGCCAAUCAAACUUCGUGAUAGCUGGUUCUCUCCGAAAUAUAUUUAGGUAUAGCGUUGUGUCGUAAUGUAAGGGGGUAGAGCACUGAAUGGGCUAGGGCAUACACCAAUGUACCAAACCCUAUCAAACUCCGAAUACCUUAUAUGUAAUCACAGCAGUCAGGCGGCGAGUGAUAAAAUCCGUCGUCAAGAGGGAAACAACCCAGACUACCAGCUAAGGUCCCUAAAUCUUACUUAAGUGGAAAACGAUGUGAAGUUACUUAAACAACCAGGAGGUUGGCUUAGAAGCAGCCAUCCUUUAAAGAAAGCGUAAUAGCUCACUGGUCUAGUGAUUUUGCGCGGAAAAUAUAACGGGGCUAAAGUAAGUACCGAAGCUGUAGACUUGCACACAACUUAGAUUAUUUAAGUUUAGAAUAUGAGAAACUAAGUUAUAUGUUUAGUUAUAUUUUUACUGAUUUUUAUAGAGUAAAGAUAGAAAUAAAACUUAGUAAAAUCAGUAAAAAUAUUCUUAGGCUAAAGUUAAGUAGUUUAAGUUGUGUGCAAGUGGUAGGAGAGCGUUCUAUUUGCGUCGAAGGUAUACCGGUAAGGAGUGCUGGAGCGAAUAGAAGUGAGCAUGCAGGCAUGAGUAGCGAUAAUUAAUGUGAGAAUCAUUAACGCCGUAAACCCAAGGUUUCCUACGCGAUGCUCGUCAUCGUAGGGUUAGUCGGGUCCUAAGUCGAGUCCGAAAGGGGUAGACGAUGGCAAAUUGGUUAAUAUUCCAAUACCGACAUUAGUGUGCGAUGGAAGGACGCUUAGGGCUAAGGGGGCUAGCGGAUGGAAGUGCUAGUCUAAGGUUGUAGGAGGUUAUACAGGCAAAUCCGUAUAACAAUACUCCGAGAACUGAAAGGCUUUUUGAAGUCUUCGGAUGGAUAGAAGAACCCCUGAUGCCGUCGAGCCAAGAAAAGUUUCUAAGUUUAGCUAAUGUUGCCCGUACCGUAAACCGACACAGGUGGGUGGGAUGAGUAUUCUAAGGCGCGUGGAAGAACUCUCUUUAAGGAACUCUGCAAAAUAGCACCGUAUCUUCGGUAUAAGGUGUGGUUAGCUUCGUACUAGGAUUUACUCCGAAAGCGAAGAAACUUACAACAAAGAGUCCCUCCCGACUGUUUACCAAAAACACAGCACUCUGCUAACUCGUAAGAGGAUGUAUAGGGUGUGACGCCUGCCCGGUGCUCGAAGGUUAAUUGAUGGGGUUAGCAUUAGCGAAGCUCUUGAUCGAAGCCCGAGUAAACGGCGGCCGUAACUAUAACGGUCCUAAGGUAGCGAAAUUCCUUGUCGGUUAAAUACCGACCUGCAUGAAUGGCGUAACGAGAUGGGAGCUGUCUCAAAGAGGGAUCCAGUGAAAUUGUAGUGGAGGUGAAAAUUCCUCCUACCCGCGGCAAGACGGAAAGACCCCGUGGACCUUUACUACAGCUUGACACUGCUACUUGGAUAAGAAUGUGCAGGAUAGGUGGGAGGCUUUGAGUAUAUGACGCCAGUUGUAUAUGAGCCAUUGUUGAGAUACCACUCUUUCUUAUUUGGGUAGCUAACCAGCUUGAGUUAUCCUCAAGUGGGACAAUGUCUGGUGGGUAGUUUGACUGGGGCGGUCGCCUCCCAAAUAAUAACGGAGGCUUACAAAGGUUGGCUCAGAACGGUUGGAAAUCGUUCGUAGAGUAUAAAGGUAUAAGCCAGCUUAACUGCAAGACAUACAAGUCAAGCAGAGACGAAAGUCGGUCUUAGUGAUCCGGUGGUUCUGUGUGGAAGGGCCAUCGCUCAAAGGAUAAAAGGUACCCCGGGGAUAACAGGCUGAUCUCCCCCAAGAGCUCACAUCGACGGGGAGGUUUGGCACCUCGAUGUCGGCUCAUCGCAUCCUGGGGCUGGAGCAGGUCCCAAGGGUAUGGCUGUUCGCCAUUUAAAGCGGUACGCGAGCUGGGUUCAGAACGUCGUGAGACAGUUCGGUCCCUAUCUGCCGUGGGCGUAAGAAGAUUGAAGAGAUUUGACCCUAGUACGAGAGGACCGGGUUGAACAAACCACUGGUGUAGCUGUUGUUCUGCCAAGAGCAUCGCAGCGUAGCUAAGUUUGGAAAGGAUAAACGCUGAAAGCAUCUAAGCGUGAAGCCAACUCUAAGAUGAAUCUUCUCUAAGCUCUCUAGAAGACUACUAGUUUGAUAGGCUGGGUGUGUAAUGGAUGAAAGUCUUUUAGCUGACCAGUACUAAUAGAGCGUUUGGCUUAUCUUUAAUAAAGCAU
This 3073-nucleotide ribosomal RNA is filed under the name Campylobacter jejuni. Its description in RNAcentral is "23S ribosomal RNA". It matches the Rfam family "Bacterial large subunit ribosomal RNA". Lineage: Bacteria; Pseudomonadati; Campylobacterota; Epsilonproteobacteria; Campylobacterales; Campylobacteraceae. The record is from RNAcentral.